RNAcentral lists this ribosomal RNA (489 nucleotides) under uncultured bacterium. RNAcentral describes it as "partial 16S ribosomal RNA". It matches the Rfam family "Bacterial small subunit ribosomal RNA", at positions 30 to 506 of the family's 1533-position model. The record is from RNAcentral.
AUUGGACGCUGGCGGCAGGCCUAACACAUGCAAGUCGAACGGUAACAGGAAGAAGCUUGCUUCUUUGCUGACGAGUGGCGGACGGGUGAGUAAUGUCUGGGAAACUGCCUGAUGGAGGGGGAUAACUACUGGAAACGGUAGCUAAUACCGCAUAACGUCGCAAGACCAAAGAGGGGGACCUUCGGGCCUCUUGCCAUCGGAUGUGCCCAGAUGGGAUUAGCUAGUAGGUGGGGUAACGGCUCACCUAGGCGACGAUCCCUAGCUGGUCUGAGAGGAUGACCAGCCACACUGGAACUGAGACACGGUCCAGACUCCUACGGGAGGCAGCAGUGGGGAAUAUUGCACAAUGGGCGCAAGCCUGAUGCAGCCAUGCCGCGUGUAUGAAGAAGGCCUUCGGGUUGUAAAGUACUUUCAGCGGGGAGGAAGGGAGUAAAGUUAAUACCUUUGCUCAUUGACGUUACCCGCAGAAGAAGCACCGGCUAACUCCGU